GUCUUUUUGUUAUAAAUAUAAAGUCUCGCCUGCCCCCUGAAGUUUAAAUGGCCGCGGUAUAUUGACCGUGCUAAGGUAGCAUAAUCAUUAGUUUUUUUAUUGAAAGCUGGAAUGAAGGGUUGGAUGAAAAAAAAACUGUCUUUAUUUAAUUUUAAAAGAAUUUUAUUUUUAAGUUAAAAAGCUUAAAUAUUUUUAAAAGACGAGAAGACCCUAUAGAGUUUUAUAAAUUUAAAAAUAUAUUUUUUUAGAAUUUAAUUUAUUUAUAUUUUAAAUUUAUUUAAUUGGGGUGAUUAAAAAAUAAAUUUAACUUUUUUUGUAUUAUUAUAUUGAUUAAUAGUUAUUUGAUCCAAUAUUUUUGAUUAUAAGAUUAAAUUACCUUAGGGAUAACAGCGUAAUUUUAUUGGAGAGUUCAAAUUGAUAAUAAAGAUUGCGACCUCGAUGUUGGAUUAAAAUUUAUAAUUGGUGCAGAAGCUAUAUUAUUAAGUCUGUUCGACU
Molecule: ribosomal RNA, 495 nt
Filed under: Diabrotica undecimpunctata howardi (spotted cucumber beetle)
Lineage: Eukaryota; Metazoa; Arthropoda; Insecta; Coleoptera; Chrysomelidae
Also listed under: 1 other name
Description: partial 16S ribosomal RNA
Source: RNAcentral